UAAAAGAUAACAGCAUGACUUUUAAGUUUUGUUUGAAAUAGUAAUCACAUUCACAUCCUCUAACAGACUGUAGAACUGGGUAACAACUGGUGUCAUUCAGCAAUUACACAUUUGAUUGAUCAAAAUCACAUGUGGAGUUCCCCACAUGUCCUUUCUCAGGCCUCUACAUGCUCCCACUACUUAGUUUAUGGAAAACAACGAAAUCUGCCAACAGCUGAGUCCUCCCUGUGAGGAGGAGUCAAUGCAAAACUCAGAUGUCUUCCACCUCUACUUAUCUGACUGCAGAGAGGAGGACAGAGGACAGUGGACACACAGUUUAACAUGAUGGACUAUAGGACAGGACUGCUGCUUUUAACCAUCUGCUGCUGGACAGGUGUUGAUGGUCAGACUCUGACAGAAUCUGAACCAGUGAUUAAAAGACCUGGAGAAUCCCACAGACUGACCUGUACAGCCUCUGGGUUUGAUUUUAGUAGCUACUGGAUGGCCUGGAUCAGACAGGCUCCUGGAAAAGGACUGGAGUGGAUUUCAAUUAUCGAAUAUGACAGUGAUCGCAUCUACUACUCCCAGUCAGUUCAGGGCCGGUUCACCAUCUCCAGAGACAACAACAGACAGCAGCUGUAUCUGCAGAUGAACAGUCUGAGGACUGAAGACUCUGCUGUUUAUUAUUGUGCUCGAGACCCACAGUGA
This is a non-coding RNA of Sebastes umbrosus (honeycomb rockfish), 687 nucleotides long. NCBI's taxonomy places the organism in Eukaryota, Metazoa, Chordata, Actinopteri, Perciformes, Sebastidae. The record is from the annotation of a RefSeq genome assembly.